Long non-coding RNA from Prionailurus viverrinus (fishing cat), 4924 nucleotides. RefSeq lists it as uncharacterized. NCBI's taxonomy places the organism in Eukaryota, Metazoa, Chordata, Mammalia, Carnivora, Felidae. The record is from RefSeq and is a predicted model, not a curated record. The transcript is spliced from 4 exons.
UGACUCCCUUGCAGACAACUUGUAAAAUGUUAGGAGCAGAGGAUGGGAAGAAAGAGGCCAGAGGGAAGGUUCUAUAACUCCGCUAUCCUUAAAGAUAUUUACAAUGCCCUGUCUUUGGAACCGCCCCAGGCAGCAUUUCCCAACCUAGCGAGUCCCUUUGGUCUGCAGGACGGUGAGGGCUGGAUCUCGGAGAGCUCCGGGAAUCCGGGAGAGGUCUGCAUCCUAGGUUCACGCAGAGCAGGAGCCUGGGACUGAUUUACCCCUACUCCGUGAGCCGUACCUCUGCUCACGAAAAGUCGAGAAUAUUCUGGAGUGUUGGAAGGCCACAAACAUAAAGGAUCAGAACUGAGCCUGAGAGGAACAGCUGGUCAGAUUUUUUCAUCUUUGGCCUAAGUCACAAACUUCCCACAUUGAUGUUUGAUUGAGAGGGCACUGGAGAUAUACUAAGGAUGAAGAGAGAGAGACUGACUGCUCCCACUGAGUGGGUGGUACUGAUGAAAAGCAAGUAGACAAUAACCAUGUGGCUUAUCAGGAAUAAUCCACUGGAGAGACUGGAAAAGAGGCAUCUUCUGUAGGUGUGAUAAUUGUAGAAGAGUUUCCUGAGGAGGGGAAAAAAAAAGAACUAAAGCAUGGAAAGCCAUUGGAAGAAUUCAAGAAAAAGCACUUCAAGUGGAAGAAACUCCAAGAACCCUGUAGCUGGAGGGUAGUAAUCUGAGGAGAGGGUGUUGCAAAGUGGAGUGAGAAAGGAUGGUACCGGCCAGGUCAUGUAGGUCACAGUGAAGAGUAGAUCUUUGACGUUGGUGCGAUGGCAAGUUAUUGGAGAGUGUCAUGCUGAUGAGGGAUAUGACCUGAUUUGCCUUUGCAGAUCACUGACUAUGAUGUGAAGUAGAGCUGGAGGUGGUAAGCAAGGAGAAAUAUAAAUUUGCAUUAUUAUGAUUCUAGUAAAACAUUUUCUUCAUGAGAUGAAUCUACAAAUCUCAGAUGGAGUUCAUAAUACCAUUAGUGAAAUUUGCAUGGCUCCACAUGAGAAAGAAACAGGAAACAAAACUCAAUUCUGCAUUUCAACAUGAUCACCAUUAAACUAAGACAAUGAAAAUGCAGAAAAGUAACUAUUUUCCUCCAGGCUCGGGAGUAAGGAGUGGUUAUCAGUUAGAGAUUUGGGUUACCUAGUAGGUCAUUGGUAUUGACUACUACCCCCCCCCCCCCGUGACCUCCAUUUUAUGACUUCUCUUAAAACAAUAUCUGAAAUGUGAGUAGCCCAGAGGAGCCUGAGAGAGGGAGCUAUAAACUUCUCCAGGCUCCUCCCAACUAGAGGAAGACCAGGAGCCAGCAUACCUGUAGCAAGAGGGGGUCUCUGUAGUUAAGCCAGAGCAAGUUUUUGUUCACUCAUGUGCUUUUAUUUAUGUAUUUGGUACAUUGGUUGUAAAAUAGAAUUAGACCACAAAGCGUUGAAAUUAACAAUUGGAACUCAGACUUCCAGAGACCUGGGUGCUGCCUCCAGCUCUGCCACGUACUUGGGGCCAGUAACGUCCCAGUGCAUGGGCUCCCUCGUUAGUAGAACUAGGAGAAUGGAAAUGUGUUUCUCUUAUAGAUUCAUUAAGAUUACACAUGCAGAGUACUUAGGAAUACUACCUGGUAUUAAUAAGCAUUCACUAACUAGCUUAAAAAACAUAGAAAUGUAAAAUAGAUAAAAAUUUUGUCCUGAGUGAAUUAGCUCCCAAUUAAAUGAAACUUCAUGAAGGCAGAAACCAGGACUGUUUUACAUAUAUAUUGGGCUUAUAACCAUAGGCCCAAUACCUAGCUCACUAGCCAUAAAACAAAUACAGUUGAAGAAAGGCAGGCAGGCAAGCAAGAAGGAAGAAAUUCAGGGAGGGUAGAAGGGAGAGAGGAAAGAGAGAGAGGGAAUUUCUAACUAAUAGGAAGUGAAUUGUUUGAAGGAGAAUUUCUUUCACUCCCAUUAAGCAAAAGAAAUUGUUUAUAGUCAAAAGUAUCUGAUAAAAGACUGAAACGUGUUAAAGAUUUCUUGAGAUUGUACAGAACUAGAAAUGGAAAUCUAAAACUUUGUGUGUGUGUGUGUGUGUGUGUGUGUGUGUGUGUGUGUGAUGCACUGAAGAUAUUGCAUUUAUGUAUAGAGUGCAUUCUAGGGUUUGAUUUCAAUUUCCAAAAUAUGCCUCUAGAUUACUCACUUGUCUCAAUUUCCACUGCUAUCAUCCCAGUCUAAGCCCUAGACAUCUCUCAUCUGAACUAUUGCUCUCUCCUGUGUGUGCCCAGAAUAUGUGCUCACUUCAGCAGCACAUGUACUGUGUGUACCCAGAAUAUACUAACCUCCUUCUAGCUGCAGAGGCUUUCAGCUUCUGUCUUCUAACUAAAGUGCUCUUCCCUUAGGCUCUUUCCCAUCAUUCAGGCUUCAGCUGAAAAGUCACCCGUUCAGAGUGUCCUUUCUUGGCCACCCCAUCUAAGUAGAUUCUUAAUUUUUAUGAGAGUACCAGGUGUAUAUUAUUUCCUCUACUUAUCAAAACCUAUAGUAAUUUCAUUUAUCUGUUUCCUAAAGUGAAUGAUGAAUGCAUGAAUUUCUUUCUGAUUUAACUGUACCUCAGUUAUCUGAACUAGACAAUAAUUUGUUGAAGCCAAACACUGUUGACCUUUCUCUCUUUCAAAGACAUAAACUUUGUGAUGGUACCUACAAGUUGAAGUUAAGCACACGUUUUUCCAAACAACAUGUUAGAGAGCAUCUUUUAGUCACUGUUUCACUAUUUAUAGGAAAUUAAAAUCACCAUGCAAGUUGCAGGAAAGUCACCUGCCUAACACAAGAGUAAAUACGGUAAUUUCCAUCCCUUACUCCUUCCAUUCUUUCAUAGGCAUCUGCCAGCAUGGCAUGCAUAUUGAAAUCCCAAUUCAGGAAUGAAAAUCUGAAACCAAGCUAUCUGCUUUUGUGUACUCUGGCACUGCAUCAUUUAAAAUAAUCCAAGAAUGAAAAUAUGAGCUAAGCUGUUUGCUUUUUUAAACAUUGAGCGUGUCAAUCCUGAAAUUCCACUGGACAAGCAUUUACUCUCCACAAAGGAUUUUCCAUAUGUAAGAUCAUGUCUUCUACAAAUACAGAUAGUUUUACUUCUUCUUUCCAAUUUGGAUACCCUUUAUUUCCCUUUCUUACUUAAUUAUGAUGGCUAAAUCUCUAGUACAAUGUUGAAUUGCAUGUUGAAUGCUGAAAUGGUAAGAGAGACAUAUUUACUCUGUUCCUGAUUUGGGGGGGAAGUUUUCAGUUUUUUACCAUUAAGGAUAAUGUUACCUGUGGGUUUUUGUAGAUGUCCUCUAUCAAGUUGGGAAAAUUUCUUUCUAUUUCUUAUUUGUUGAAUGUUAUUUUAGUAUAAGAGGGUGUUGGAUUUUGUCAAAUGCUUUUCUUUGUCUACUAAAAUGAUCAUGCAUUUUUUGUCCUUUAUUCUAUUAAUAUGGUGUAUUAUGUUGAUUUAUUUUUAUAUGUUGAAGGAAACUUCCACCUAGGAAAAUUCUACUUAUGAAAUACAAUCCUUUUUAAAAAAAUAUAGUUGGAUUCAUUUUGCUAGUAACUCAGUGAACCAAUACUUUCCAAGUGGCCAAAAGAUGAUAUUAUAAUAUCAUGCAUGGGUAAACAAUCUAUUCAAAGUACAAGAUAGGCCAUGAAUUUUAAUGUAACAGAAUGUGAAAACCUUAUUAAUAUGGCUUAAGAUUCUCCACCAAAGCUAAUCUUUAAGAAUUUGUUGAUUUUUAUGGUAAUAUAAAAAACUCAUAACUAUAUGAAAGACUGUUAUAAUGUAGUCAGUUCUACUUUAAUGCAUGUUUUAAAAAUCUAAAUUUGUUCCAACUGGAACCAUUAGAUGAAUGCAGAAAACUGCACCCAAAUGAAUGGAGCUGUGUAGGAAUAUGUAAAAUGCAUCCACACACACAUGGCCUACCACAUCCUCCCAUCCACAUCUGGUGUUAUAAGCUUCCUUUUGAUUUCAAAUGAUUCUUCUGUCACCACUACCCCAAAACUCUCCAGCUCUAAGCCUUCUGAUGGACUUAUGGCUCCUGCCUUAAACUCUAAUAUUCCCAUUUCCUCUCAGCUUGUUUUGUAUUUUUCUUUUUUGUCUCUUAUUCUUUUGUUUUCUUCCUCUGGCACAUGUAUGGUAGUGGGUGUAGAGCCAAAGCAGGCAAGCCUAGUGGGAAUGUAAGCACCCACUCCUACAUGCAAACCUCAGGUAUUUUUCAAGGUAAAUUACCAUGUGUACCGUAGUAUUUAUUCAUUCCUUAAUCAUUUAACAUGUGUAAAGCUGUGAUACCAAUUUUACUAGAUUAUUGUCUCUGUUUUAAAUUACAUUCCUACCUGUUUUUAUGUGUCACUGAAAAGUUUAUGAGUGUUGUAUCUCAACUCUAUUUCCCUAUCAGCCUUGUGGGGUUUUUUAUUGAGGUAAAGUUCACCUAACAUAAAAUUUAACAUUGUAACCAUUUUAAAGUAUACAAUCUAGUGGCUUUUGGUACACUGACAGCAUGUGAAACAAUCGCUACUAUUUAAUUCCAGAACAUUCUCAUCAUCCCAAAAAGAAACCUCAUACCUAUUUAGAAGUCACUUCCUGUCCCCACUCCCUACCAACACGGGUAAUCACUAAUCUGCUUUCUCUGGAUUUGCUUAUUCUGAACAUUUCAUAUAAAUGGAAUUGUACAAUUGUAUGUGGGCUUUUGUGUCCAACUUCUUUCACUUAGCAUGAUGUUUUCAGGUUCACUCAUGUUAUAGUAUGUGUCAGUAGCCCAUUCCUUUUUAUAACGGAAUAUUUCACUGUAUGAAUAUAUGACAUUUUGUUUAGUCAUUAGUGUCCAUAAAUUGGUGGACAUUUGGGUUGUUUCCAUUUUUUACUAUUAUGAAUAAUGCUUUAAAAAAUUGAUAUAAAAAUUUAAAUAAGUAAAUAAACAA